AAUUAAGAAAUUAUUCUUUUGGGACUUGCAAACCAAGAGAUACGUAUAUUUUGAAAAAGAUGCAUGUUAUGACUUUAUUCUUCAAAACGUGGCUCAAAAUACUUCUCAAGCUUGGUUUUAUGAUAGAAGUGUGGUUUGGGAAAAGGUAAUCAUAACUUACAAAAAACAAAUAAGAAAAAAAAGGUCAGGAAAAGGGACUGACAGGUACCCAAGGGCAGGGUGGGGUGGAGGGAGCAAGAAUUAGACCAGAGCGCAGCUCUAGCUAGAAACAGUGCCUCUCCCAAAGUGGGUCUGCCACUGUAGCCAACGCAGCGCUUCUGGAAAGCUCAUCUACAAAACUCCCAGGGCAGGGCGGGCAGGGCAGGGGUUGGCAAGACUCCUAAAGAACAACACAAAGGAGUAUAUUCUCAAGAGGUGAUGGUCUUGACGGGGAAAGUAGUGUCUCUUUUCCUCUUUCCAAGCUUCAAGCCUCCACUUUUUUCCUUCUGUCUCCACCUAGCCCCAGUACUGGGGACAAAUCAAGUUAAGGUCAAGCCAGCCGCCAAGGUUCACCGAGGACGCAGGCAGCAAGACUUUGUUUCUAGUUGCGGGGAUCUUCCCCUCGCGUGUAGUCUCCACGGCAAACUGCGCCCGACUCAGCCCGUUUCACCUCACUCCUGAGCACUCGGAGCCGGGUCGCGGGGCAGGAACAGCCGACCGCGGCGUGGGCACCCGAGGGGCGCACCCAGCUCUCGCCUUUCACUCGCGGGCUCCCCUGUCCCUCUGGCCGGCCGGGCCGCACCGGAGCCACCCUGCGCCCGCUUCUAGAUGGCGCCCGUCGCAUGCCGCGCCCGCUCUCCUCGCUGGCUGACCGCUUCUCGCUCGGAGUUCAAGAUUCCCGCCGCUACAAUCGCGCCACAGCCUCACCCCCAUCUCGUCGUUUGUUUUUUUUAACUUUCUUUAGCGCUAAACUCCGUCGCUACAAAGCUCUGUUCUCAGUCGGCUCCGCCAGGGGGUUCAGCGAGGAACCCGAGGUCUGGAGACGCCCCGGCGGGGCGGGGCGGGGGCGGGGCGCAGCCACCUCCCUCACCGGGGAGCCCGGCUUGGCCCCACCCCAGCCGCUGCCAUCCUCGGGGUCGGUGCCAGGCAACUCAGCCGAGACGCGCUGGCUCGCGAUGGCGACCGGGAGACACCCGGCGAGGGGAGGCGGGGUCGGGGAGGCGCGGAGCGCACGGAGGCGGAGGCUGGCAGGGGGCGCUGGAGGCUGGGGCGGUCGGCGCGCUCUCCGCGCCCGAGGGAGCCAGAGGCUCUAAAGCGGCGGUUGGACCGGCGGCCCCCGGCGGCUGCUGGGCCGUGGGGGAGCGGCUCCUGAGCCCCUUUGUUCUCGCGCAAGGCGCCUCGCCGCCCACUCCCCUGCUGUCGCGCGGCGGCGGCGGCUCCUCUCGCGCGGGG
This 1431-nucleotide long non-coding RNA is filed under the name Heterocephalus glaber (naked mole-rat). RNAcentral's name for it is "lncRNA (ENSHGLG00000039021.1)". Lineage: Eukaryota; Metazoa; Chordata; Mammalia; Rodentia; Bathyergidae. The record is from RNAcentral.